AAUUUUCCUCGAUAAAACGAUAUGAAGAGUUCGAUAAAUGUUCGAUAUAAUGUUCAUGAGCCAAAAGCGGAACGAAAGAGCGCGACUCAUUUAUCCACAUCAUU
Long non-coding RNA from Sinocyclocheilus grahami, 104 nucleotides. RefSeq lists it as uncharacterized. NCBI's taxonomy places the organism in Eukaryota, Metazoa, Chordata, Actinopteri, Cypriniformes, Cyprinidae. The record is from RefSeq and is a predicted model, not a curated record. The transcript is spliced from 3 exons.